AUACGAAAUUUUAAAAAUGCUUUGAUUUUCAUUUUAUAUUUAGAAUAACAAAAAAAUUAAAUCAGUAAGAGAAACGAAAAAACGUGCGUUUUUUCAUUUUCUGAGACCGGAAGUGGUCAUCAGCAAGUGUGGAGCCAAACGACAACAAGUUUCUCAGAGGGCGGAGCCAGAGAGCAGUGAUUGGUCAGACCAUAGAAGACAGCGCGCUAGCGUAUCUAGUCUGUGUAUAUCUAUGGUCGGCACGUCUGGUAGCAUCUCUGGCUGCUGUUGAUCUUGUUUUUGGAGUAAAACACGGUGGAAGCUGAAUUAGUGAGGAUGACUCCUGCUCCUGUCAUCUCUAAACUCCUCACACAUCUUUACCUGCACAUGAGGAAAAUCACUCCUGUAGAAUGCAGUGGUUCAUCAGAACCUCUGGGGAUGUCCUGUGGAUCCUGUGGAUCCUGUGGGUUGCAGGGUGGGUCCUACCUAGACCAGGCUGAUCCUGGACCAUCCCACAGAUGCUCAAUCAGAUCUGGAUGUGGGGAGUGUGGAACCCAGAUGUUCAGAGGGAGAUGAUGCCACAUCUGGUCCAGCUGAUGGAAGGUCUUGAAGUUCUCUGACUGGCCUCGACUGAAGAUGGUCGUCUCACUGGAUUUAAGGUUCAGAUGCUCAGUAACAAACUCCACCAAUGUGCCAACAGGGAAGCUUUAGGUUUAUUAAAUGUUGCUAUGAAGGUAUCACUGUUUUUCUUUGUGAAUGCAAUGUGCUCCAACUGAAACUUGAAUUAGAACUUAGAAGUAAAUCCUUCCAUCUGAAAGGAUUUAGUUGCAUUAAUAACCUCAUAACAUUCUAAUUUUUAUUCCAGUCUUGGUUGGAAAUAGAAUCUCUGUAUUGAUUCAGGUAAAAACUGAACUUCACAGCAUGUUGGAGCAAAACAACCAGAUGAAAACUGUGAUGGUGUUGGAUUGUCAGACCGUAAUGUUGCAGCUCAAAGCAGCUUUUCUAUCUCAGUUCAUUCUGACAUUCAGCUAUGAAUCAACACAGCAGAUGGUGAUCCAUGCUGUGGAAGUCUCACAUCUCCUGAUUUAAUGGAGCUGCUUUGCACUUUUUACACUGUUUAUUCACCAACACUUUAUUUAAUAAAAGUCCCAUCUAGUUUUUAUGAGGAAUGUGAUGUUUUAAUUUCUCUGAAUAACUGCAGUCUAAUGCAACAGCUGGAACUGUAACAUCUGUCC
Molecule: long non-coding RNA, 1214 nt
Organism: Amphiprion ocellaris (clown anemonefish)
Lineage: Eukaryota; Metazoa; Chordata; Actinopteri; Pomacentridae
Source: Ensembl